GUCUAUGGUUAAACCACCCUGAACACGCCCAAUCUCGUCUAAUCUCGGAAGCUAAGCAGGGUCGGGCCUGGUUAGUACUUGGAUGGGAGAAGUAUCUGGUACUGCCGGAC
RNAcentral lists this ribosomal RNA (110 nucleotides) under Propithecus coquereli (Coquerel's sifaka). Lineage: Eukaryota; Metazoa; Chordata; Mammalia; Primates; Indriidae. The record is from RNAcentral.